This 497-nucleotide ribosomal RNA is filed under the name uncultured bacterium. RNAcentral's name for it is "partial 16S ribosomal RNA". It matches the Rfam family "Bacterial small subunit ribosomal RNA", at positions 28 to 507 of the family's 1533-position model. The record is from RNAcentral.
GAUGAACGCUGGCGGCGUGCCUAAUACAUGCAAGUCGAGCGAACAGAUGAGGAGCUUGCUCCUCUGACGUUAGCGGCGGACGGGUGAGUAACACGUGGAUAACCUACCUAUAGGACUGGGAUAACUUCGGGAAACCGGAGCUAAUACCGGAUAAUAUAUUGAACCGCAUGGUUCAAUAGUGAAAGACGGUUUUGCUGUCACUUAUAGAUGGAUCCGCGCCGCAUUAGCUAGUUGGUAAGGUAAAGGCUUACCAAGGCAACGAUGCGUAGCCGACCUGAGAGGGUGAUCGGCCACACUGGAACUGAGACACGGUCCAGACUCCUACGGGAGGCAGCAGUAGGGAAUCUUCCGCAAUGGGCGAAAGCCUGACGGAGCAACGCCGCGUGAGUGAUGAAGGUCUUCGGAUCGUAAAACUCUGUUAUUAGGGAAGAACAAAUGUGUAAGUAACUAUGCACGUCUUGACGGUACCUAAUCAGAAAGCCACGGCUAACUACGUG